This 497-nucleotide ribosomal RNA is filed under the name uncultured bacterium. RNAcentral's name for it is "partial 16S ribosomal RNA". It matches the Rfam family "Bacterial small subunit ribosomal RNA", at positions 28 to 507 of the family's 1533-position model. The record is from RNAcentral.
GAUGAACGCUGGCGGCGUGCCUAAUACAUGCAAGUCGAGCGAACAGACGUGGAGCUUGCUCCUCUGACGUUAGCGGCGGACGGGUGAGUAACACGUGGAUAACCUACCUAUAAGACUGGGAUAACUUCGGGAAACCGGAGCUAAUACCGGAUAAUAUAUUGAACCGCAUGGUUCAAUAGUGAAAGACGGUUUUGCUGUCACUUAUAGAUGGAUCCGCGCCGCAUUAGCUAGUUGGUAAGGUAACGGCUUACCAAGGCAACGAUGCGUAGCCGACCUGAGAGGGUGAUCGGCCACACUGGAACUGAGACACGGUCCAGACUCCUACGGGAGGCAGCAGUAGGGAAUCUUCCGCAAUGGGCGAAAGCCUGACGGAGCAACGCCGCGUGUGUGAUGAAGGUCUUCGGAUCGUAAAACUCUGUUAUUAGGGAAGAACAAAUGUGUAAGUAACUAUGCACGUCUUGACGGUACCUAAUCAGAAAGCCACGGCUAACUACGUG